RNAcentral lists this ribosomal RNA (260 nucleotides) under uncultured Atopobium sp. Its description in RNAcentral is "partial 16S ribosomal RNA". It matches the Rfam family "Bacterial small subunit ribosomal RNA", at positions 96 to 355 of the family's 1533-position model. The record is from RNAcentral. Lineage: Bacteria; Bacillati; Actinomycetota; Coriobacteriia; Coriobacteriales; Atopobiaceae.
AGGCGAACGGCUGAGUAGCACGUGGGCAACCUGCCCUUUGCACUGGGAUAGCCUCGGGAAACCGAGGUUAAUACCGGAUACUCCAUAUUUGUCGCAUGGCGAAUAUGGGAAAGCUCCGGCGGCAAAGGAUGGGCCCGCGGCCUGUUAGCUAGUUGGUGGGGUAGUGGCCUACCAAGGCAAUGAUGGGUAGCCGGGUUGAGAGACCGACCGGCCAGAUUGGGACUGAGACACGGCCCAGACUCCUACGGGAGGCAGCAGCU